GAUGAACGCUGGCGGCGUGCCUAAUACAUGCAAGUAGAACGCUGAAGGAGGAGCUUGCUCUUCUGGAUGAGUUGCGAACGGGUGAGUAACGCGUAGGUAACCUGCCUGGUAGCGGGGGAUAACUAUUGGAAACGAUAGCUAAUACCGCAUGACAACAGUUAUUGCAUGAUAACUGUUUAAAAGGGGCAACUGCUCCACUACCAGAUGGACCUGCGUUGUAUUAGCUAGUUGGUGAGGUAACGGCUCACCAAGGCGACGAUACAUAGCCGACCUGAGAGGGGGACCGCCACACUGGGACUGAGACACGGCCCAGACUCCUACGGGAGGCAGCAGUAGGGAAUCUUCGGAAAUGGACGGAAGUCUGACCGAGCAACGCCGCGUGAGUGAAGAAGGUUUUCGGAUCGUAAAGCUCUGUUGUAAGAGAAGAACGAGUGUGAGAGUGGAAAGUUCACACUGUGACGGUAGCUUACCAGAAAGGGACGGCUAACUACGUG
RNAcentral lists this ribosomal RNA (494 nucleotides) under uncultured bacterium. RNAcentral's name for it is "partial 16S ribosomal RNA". It matches the Rfam family "Bacterial small subunit ribosomal RNA", at positions 28 to 507 of the family's 1533-position model. The record is from RNAcentral.